GCCACGCCCACAUGCCCGGUCCUCUCCUGCGGAGCCUUCCAACCGCGCUCAACCAUCUUGACUAGGAACCAACCACCGUACUGUCUCCUUCGAGCCUGAUUUGUGAAACUUUCCACUGCUGCCGUCCGUAGGGCACGACGUGUUUCUGCCCACCAUGGGCCAGAGUUUUCGAUGACUUCGUGUGUGCAGAUCCAGGCUCCUGCCUGCGAUGAUUGGCGUCGCCUUCCUGCCACCCCCGCAGCCGUGGUUCUACCCAGCCUCCCGGGGACGCCUCUGCCAGGUGCGUCACUCCCACCUGGGUCGCGGCCCCGGCCUGGCCGUGUGCGUGGCGCUGCGGGACGCCUGCAGAAAAUAGGGAAUUCAGCCCGUGCCCACAAGUGAGGAUAAAGGAGCACGCGGGCCGAAGUGGAGCCUGGAGUUGUUUCGUCGCUGGCCCGCCGAGACUCUCGAUCAAGUGGACUUAGUCUUUGCUUCCGUGGUUCCUGGUCCCCAGUUCCUCCUUCCCACCAUGACGCUGGGAGGAGAACGCUGUGGCUUGGAAGGGGCCAGGCCGAACAAGUGGGAAACUGAGGAAGAGAGAGGUGAAGUUAUUUGGCCAGCAUGAUUCAGCUGUUCCAUGAAGGAUGAAUACUGAAGCCCAGCAAGUCCACUGGUGCAGGGAACUAUUUGUGAGACAGCUAUGCCAGGCUGUAUGAUAACCAGCCUUUCUCAACUCUUAAUUAUUAGAUCCUGAGAAAAGGACUGAGGCUAAAUAGAAAGAAGAAACUUAAACAGUCAAGUUCUGAAGCGAAGCACUGAAGCAGGUGAUUAAGGUGAUAGCAGGGAAAUUUUCUUCCUGGGAAGCCUUAAAAAGACGAAAACCAGAAGAGACACAUUGUCAUGCUAUAGACUCAGUGAUCUAUACUGAAACCAAAGGGUCCUGCUAAGUGCAUCCUAUCUGGAAGGAAAAAAUUUAAGGUGCCAGUUUUAGGCCAUACCUGUGCACUUCAUUUCACAGAAUUGGGGGAAAAGCAGAGCCCGGCAUCUUGGCCUCUCUGUCUGGCUCUGUGUGCCCGUAAGUGGCCAGGGCAGGUAUGGCUGCAGUUGGGCCACAGGCUGAACCUUAUCUCAGCCCACGAACCUCUUUUCUGCAGCCUGGCCACUUUCCUCCAGGCUGGUUGACACACUCUGAACCCCUCACCAUGGUGCCAGAGUUUGAGUGAAUCACCUUGUCCCUUGGAGGUUCCCAGAGACCCUGUCCCCUUGCUUAGGUUUAAGCUGCCCAGAGGCUGCUUUCCAGGUAAAAGUGGGCCCUUUGAGGUCUCUCUGAACCACUCCCAUCUUACUGUUUGCUUUCCUUUCUUAGGACCUGUCUUAGUUACUUUUCUUGCUCCUGAGACAAAAUACCCGACACCCAAAGUUAAAGGAGGAAAGGUUUGUUUAGCUCACAGCUCGUAGAAGUUUCAGAUCAUAGUUGGCUGGCUCCAAGGCAGAGUGGUGUGGCAGAGGGCAUCACAGAGGAGAAACAGUCCACAGCAAGCAGGCAGGCAAGAGCAAGCUGGGAAUGACCACAGCUCUUUCUAUCCCUUAUAUUUUAUCCAUGCUACUUAAGGUGGAUAGUAUUCACAUCCUUAAUCCUCGUGCCCUUGAUCCUAGCAUUGCACUAUGAAUCAAUUCCAGCAUCACAAAUUCUAGACCCAGCCACUUCUGAAAAAGCCCCACCUAUGACCACAUGAGGCUUUAGGAGGACAUCUAGACACAAGCCAUAACAGGGCCUUUUUCCCUUUAAAUAUUUUAUGCCUAUGGGUCUAGGAGGACUGAAGGAAAGGUUGUCUCUCAAUGAAUCCCCAAAGAACAAUCUAAGGGACAGCGUUGUGGGGUCAUAAAGGAGGAAGGGACCAAGGUAUCCUUUUACACUUAGUUCCCCUGUUUUCAGUACUUUUUUUAAAAAUUAAGCUCACAAAAAUUAACUCAUUUAUUUUUAGGAUGAAAAAGGGCCUAGGACUGUUCUUUUUUAUUUUCUAGAUGGUAGAAAUGGAAUGAAUGAAUGGAAGACAAUGUAAAAAAGGAAAGUAAGUCAAAGAAAAGUCCUCCCGGGACAGUGUUUUCAGAUUCUAGUAAAAUAUGAAUUGUUACCAUGACUUAGUAUAUUCAUGCAUAUAGAUAAAUUUUAAGAAACAAGAAGUGCCUCGUAAUAUUUUCUAUUAUUUUCUCUAUCGUCCCUCCCCCCUUUCCUCAUUUCUUCCUCUCUCUCUUUCUCUUUUUCGUUUUGGGGUCUACAACAUUGAUUUCUGGAUUUUGACCCAGUGUUUUUUUUUUUAUUUAAAUAUUAAUUAGUACCCUUUAGGUAUACAAUUCGUUUACAUUUAUCAUUGGGUGCUUGUACCUGAACAUGAUGUAUCUUGGUUAUUUUUUCCCUAUUACCUGUGCGCCCUUCACCCGCUCCACCCUUCCCUAUUUCCAUAGGCUUUGUUUCCGUUUUUUUUCUUUCUCAUAAUUUUUCCUUUCCCUUCCUCCCUUUCCCCUUCCCCUUGACCCAGUGUUUUUAAAAAUCUUUCCCUUGGUCAUGGGUUAUACUGAAUGGACUGUUCAAGUAACUGAUGGAAAGGCUCCAUCCCAGAAUUUGAUUCUAAAUAACAUGAACAAAUCUAUCUUGCCACGAUAUCCUCUUAUUUAGAAACUACAGAUGAGAGUCCCAGAAAGGCAUUUCUGGGACCAGCAUGACUUUCAAGGAGCACCUUCAGAACCCCACAGUGGCUCCAUGCUGGCUCCAGGGCUUUGGAGGCUUCUACCCCAAAAUCAUAUGGUUAGGGUGAGGCCACCAAGGCAGCCUGUGUCACCUAGAGUUUGCUUUUGUGACCUUAAAUCAGCCCUGGCAUUUUCCAGCUCUGGGAGGCUCUUUUGCCCUGGUAGAUCUUAUGGUGUUUCAGAAAUCCUGACUUCUCCAGGACAGGACAGCUCUGGGAAGUCAUCUGCUAUGCCAUGGGAAGUGAGAGUGCCAUUCAGCCUGCUGUGCACUGCCAGGUAUCUGCUCCUAAUCCAUUUGGCCCCGGGGCUCCAUUCUCAGUAGCCCAGCUCAUGUCUUCAUCCUCUGGGCUUUGGCACUUGUCUUUCCCACCUGCUCCCACAUCCUCAAGCCCCAGGUUGCCACCCUGCUGCCCGCACACAGCGUCUGCUGGCAGGGUAAUGUAGAGCCCGGGGGCCAGAGAAAGGCAGACAAUCACCUGCACCUCCAAGCAGAGGCAGCUCAGAGCUCUCCCAGGCUCCCAAGCAUUUGCUGGUCUCCUGCCCAAACUCCAGCAAACAGUGAUGACUCUUCACCAAGCCCAAAGCCCAUCCACUGAGGCCGGUGGGAUACACCAGAUGCUGGGGCUCUUUUCCCCUUACAGUGGGUUCUGCAGAGACUGUGAUCACUCUCGUGACAGGUCCAGGAUUCCCAUUCUGGUCGUCUAGGACAGAGUGCCUUUUAGAAGGGCCUAGUGAUGGAGGGAAGUGGAAAGACUCUGGGAUAGGAAUAAGCAACUCAGGAGCAGGUAAGAGGGGGAGUUAGUGUCACAAAAGUGCCAAAGAGAUGAGUAGGGAAAAGCGACAGACAAAAGAAGCCCCCUUUGCAGAGGAAAAUCUUCAGGAAGGACGAUUGGGAAAUAAUCUCUUUUUCUUCAUACCAAUGAGCAAAGCCCCACAAGCCUUGACCUGGGCACGCCCCGUUUGUUUCUCCAGAAGAACAGGAAGGACAUUCUGUAAGCAGCCCAGGAAUUUGUUCAGUAUCUUUCCCUGGGGCCCCAACUCCAGAAACAUGUGGCUGUUGACAGUUCUCCUUUGCCUUUGGCCUCUGGCCUGGGACAAGCACAUUGCAAGACAAGGCUGCCCCUUUCUGUGGCAUUUGCCUCAUUGUUCUCUGUCAUUAAAGAUGUCACUAUUGUUGAAGUUUUUGUUUCUGGUGUCCACCCC
RNAcentral lists this long non-coding RNA (3930 nucleotides) under Heterocephalus glaber (naked mole-rat). RNAcentral's name for it is "lncRNA (ENSHGLG00100037348.1)". The record is from RNAcentral. Lineage: Eukaryota; Metazoa; Chordata; Mammalia; Rodentia; Bathyergidae.